AGAUUAAGUUAUUAAGGGCGCACGGUGGAUGCCUUGGCACUAGAAGCCGAUGAAGGACGUUACUAACGACGAUAUGCUUUGGGGAGCUGUAAGUAAGCUUUGAUCCAGAGAUUUCCGAAUGGGGAAACCCAGCAUGAGUUAUGUCAUGUUAUCGAUAUGUGAAUACAUAGCAUAUCAGAAGGCACACCCGGAGAACUGAAACAUCUUAGUACCCGGAGGAAGAGAAAGAAAAUUCGAUUCCCUUAGUAGCGGCGAGCGAAACGGGAAGAGCCCAAACCAACAAGCUUGCUUGUUGGGGUUGUAGGACACUCUAUACGGAGUUACAAAGGACGACAUUAGACGAAUCAUCUGGAAAGAUGAAUCAAAGAAGGUAAUAAUCCUGUAGUCGAAAAUGUUGUCUCUCUUGAGUGGAUCCUGAGUACGACGGAGCACGUGAAAUUCCGUCGGAAUCUGGGAGGACCAUCUCCUAAGGCUAAAUACUCUCUAGUGACCGAUAGUGAACCAGUACCGUGAGGGAAAGGUGAAAAGCACCCCGGAAGGGGAGUGAAAUAGAACCUGAAACCGUGUGCUUACAAGUAGUCAGAGCCCGUUAAUGGGUGAUGGCGUGCCUUUUGUAGAAUGAACCGGCGAGUUACGAUUUGAUGCAAGGUUAAGCAGUAAAUGUGGAGCCGUAGCGAAAGCGAGUCUGAAUAGGGCGUUUAGUAUUUGGUCGUAGACCCGAAACCAGGUGAUCUACCCUUGGUCAGGUUGAAGUUCAGGUAACACUGAAUGGAGGACCGAACCGACUUACGUUGAAAAGUGAGCGGAUGAACUGAGGGUAGCGGAGAAAUUCCAAUCGAACCUGGAGAUAGCUGGUUCUCUCCGAAAUAGCUUUAGGGCUAGCCUCAAGUGAUGAUUAUUGGAGGUAGAGCACUGUUUGGACGAGGGGCCCCUCUCGGGUUACCGAAUUCAGACAAACUCCGAAUGCCAAUUAAUUUAACUUGGGAGUCAGAACAUGGGUGAUAAGGUCCGUGUUCGAAAGGGAAACAGCCCAGACCACCAGCUAAGGUCCCAAAAUAUAUGUUAAGUGGAAAAGGAUGUGG
Molecule: ribosomal RNA, 1082 nt
Filed under: Staphylococcus aureus
Lineage: Bacteria; Bacillati; Bacillota; Bacilli; Caryophanales; Staphylococcaceae
Description: bacterial LSU rRNA
Rfam family: Bacterial large subunit ribosomal RNA
Source: RNAcentral